Molecule: long non-coding RNA, 708 nt
Organism: Dreissena polymorpha
Lineage: Eukaryota; Metazoa; Mollusca; Bivalvia; Myida; Dreissenidae
Exons: 6
Source: RefSeq, a predicted model, not a curated record
UUAGAUGAUACACUUGUUUGCACGAUGUUUAAACAUUUCAUACACAUGCUGACACUUAAGUAAGCAAGGUUACUGUAAACAUUUCCGACCAGACCGACUAUGUUGUUAUUCGUAGUAAUUGCGUGUUUGGUUGGCUGUAAUACAGGAAGGACAUUCACGAACUGCCCAAACGAUUGGAUAGCCCACGAUGGGUCGUGCUACCUGUUUGGUCACGAGGACAACUAACUUGAUUUCACAACCGCCGAGCAAUUCUGUCGCCAGCGCGGAGGUCAUCUGAUUCACGUGGAUGACGCGCAAGAAAACGCCUUCAUAAAGGACCAGCUGAAUGAACGCAAACCUAUUCAUUGGUGGCUGGGCAUUACUGACGAUGAUGCGAAAGGGGUCUGGAGAUGGUUUGACGAUGACACUGUGGCUGAAUAUACAGACUUUGAGUCGAAUGACCAUUUCCACCCAGGUGAAGACUGUGGGUUGUUUGCAUCAAUCUAUGAGUUCAGAUGGGCUGACAUUGAAUGUACAGCUCACUACCCCCCUCUUUGCGAACUAAGUGCACGCAACACUGAGGUCGAGACUGUUGGCUAAUAUCGAUGAGAUGACAUCUUGACACUUUCUUACUUCUUGUGUGUACAAGGACGAAUAUGUGUAAUUAAUGUACCAAUGAAUAUUAAUAUUAGACAUGACGUACUUGGUAAGAUAAAAGGCUUCAGCUUA